GUGCUCGCCUCGUGUACUAAAAUCAGAACGAUACAGAGAAGAUUAGCAUGGCCCCUGAGCCAGGAUAACACA
This 72-nucleotide small nuclear RNA is filed under the name Lynx canadensis (Canada lynx). Lineage: Eukaryota; Metazoa; Chordata; Mammalia; Carnivora; Felidae. The record is from RNAcentral.